Long non-coding RNA from Neopelma chrysocephalum (saffron-crested tyrant-manakin), 243 nucleotides. RefSeq lists it as uncharacterized. The record is from RefSeq and is a predicted model, not a curated record. The transcript has 3 exons. Lineage: Eukaryota; Metazoa; Chordata; Aves; Passeriformes; Pipridae.
AUCACUCCAGUGCCCCCUCUGCAGAAAUGAUGACACAUUUCUCAUGGAUAUGUUCACCAUGGGGAUCCGAAUGCCCUUGAGACCACCAUCAUGGGAGAGCAUUAAUGCAUUCACCGAGUUCGGAGAGAGACACGGGCACUGCGAUGCCAGUGAGUGCCUUUGUCCAGGAGGCAGGCAGGAGGCAGAGGAGGAGGGGCCCUGGGAACUGCUCCUGUGCUCCUCCUGUGCUGCUGAGGGCACCCA